Molecule: ribosomal RNA, 119 nt
Filed under: Brassica oleracea var. oleracea
Lineage: Eukaryota; Viridiplantae; Streptophyta; Magnoliopsida; Brassicales; Brassicaceae
Source: RNAcentral
GGGUGCGAUCAUACCAGCACUAAUGCACCGGAUCCCAUCAGAACCCCGAAGUUAAGCGUGCUUGGGCGAGAGUAGUACUAGGAUGGGUGACCUCCCGGGAACUCCUCCUGUUGCACCCU